RNAcentral lists this ribosomal RNA (394 nucleotides) under uncultured Anaeromyxobacter sp. Its description in RNAcentral is "bacterial SSU rRNA". It matches the Rfam family "Bacterial small subunit ribosomal RNA", at positions 67 to 447 of the family's 1533-position model. Lineage: Bacteria; Pseudomonadati; Myxococcota; Myxococcia; Myxococcales; Anaeromyxobacteraceae. The record is from RNAcentral.
CGAGAAAGCCCGCAAGGGUGAGUAAAGCGGCGCACGGGUGCGUAACACGUGGAUAAUCUGCCCUGGAGUCCGGAACAACUCGCCGAAAGGCGAGCUAAUGCCGGAUGAGACCACGGGGGCUUCGGCCCCUGAGGGAAAAGGUGGCCUCUGUACACAAGCUAUCGCUUCAGGAUGAGUCCGCGGCCCAUCAGCUAGUUGGCGGGGUAAUGGCCCACCAAGGCGACGACGGGUAGCUGGUCUGAGAGGACGAUCAGCCACACUAGAACUGAGACACGGUCCAGACUCCUACGGGAGGCAGCAGUGGGGAAUCUUGCGCAAUGGGCGAAAGCCUGACGCAGCAACGCCGCGUGUGUGAUGAAGGUCUUCGGAUCGUAAAGCACUGUCGCGAGGGACG